This 269-nucleotide ribosomal RNA is filed under the name uncultured prokaryote. RNAcentral describes it as "partial 16S ribosomal RNA". It matches the Rfam family "Bacterial small subunit ribosomal RNA", at positions 524 to 792 of the family's 1533-position model. The record is from RNAcentral.
UACGUAGGAGGCGAGCGUUAUCCGGAUUUACUGGGCGUAAAGAGGGCGCGGGUGGCUUUUCAAGUCGGGUGUAAAAUCUCCCUGCUCAACAGGGAGGGAUCAUUCGAUACUGUUGAGCUAGAGAGCAGCAGAGGGAGGCAGAAUUCCCGGUGGAGUGGUGAUAUGCGUAGAUAUCGGGAAGAAUACCAGCGGCGAAGGCGGCCUCCUGGGCUGUUUCUGACACUGAGGCCCGAAAGCGUGGGGAGCGAACAGGAUUAGAUACCCCCGUA